GACGAACGCUGGCGGCGUGCUUAACACAUGCAAGUCGAACGGAAAGGCCCCUUUGGGGGUACUCGAGUGGCGAACGGGUGAGUAACACGUGAGUAACCUGCCCUUGACUUCGGGAUAACUUCAGGAAACUGGGGCUAAUACCGGAUAGGAAUCCUUGCUGCAUGGUGGGGGUUGGAAAGCUUCGGCGGUUUUGGAUGGACUCGCGGCUUAUCAGCUUGUUGGUGGGGUAGUGGCUUACCAAGGCUUUGACGGGUAGCCAGCCUGAGAGGGCGACCGGCCACAUUGGGACUGAGAUACGGCCCAGACUCCUACGGGAGGCAGCAGUGGGGAAGAUUGCACAAUGGGCGGAAGCCUGAUGCAGCAACGCCGCGUGCGGGAUGACGGCCUUCGGGUUGUAAACCGCUUUCAGCAGGGGCGAAGCUUGUGGUGACGGUACCUGCAGAAGAAGCACCGGCUAACUACGUG
This 465-nucleotide ribosomal RNA is filed under the name uncultured bacterium. RNAcentral describes it as "partial 16S ribosomal RNA". It matches the Rfam family "Bacterial small subunit ribosomal RNA", at positions 28 to 507 of the family's 1533-position model. The record is from RNAcentral.